GAUGAACGCUGACAGAAUGCUUAACACAUGCAAGUCCACUUGAAUUUGGGUUUUUAACUUAGGUUUGGGUGGCGGACGGGUGAGUAACGCGUAAAGAACUUGCCUCACAGCUAGGGACAACAUUUGGAAACGAAUGCUAAUACCUAAUAUUAUGAUAAUAGGGCAUCCUAUAAUUAUGAAAGCUAUAAGCGCUGUGAGAGAGCUUUGCGUCCCAUUAGCUAGUUGGAGAGGUAACGGCUCACCAAGGCGAUGAUGGGUAGCCGGCCUGAGAGGGUGAUCGGCCACAAGGGGACUGAGAGACGGCCCUUACUCCUACGGGAGGCAGCAGUGGGGAAUAUUGGACAAUGGACCGAGAGUCUGAUCCAGCAAUUCUGUGUGCACGAUGAAGUUUUUCGGAAUGUAAAGUGCUUUCAGUUGGGAAGAAACAAAUGACGGUACCAACAGAAGAAGUGACGGCUAAAUACGUG
Molecule: ribosomal RNA, 467 nt
Filed under: uncultured bacterium
Lineage: Bacteria
Description: partial 16S ribosomal RNA
Rfam family: Bacterial small subunit ribosomal RNA
Source: RNAcentral